GAUGAACGCUGGCGGCGUGCCUAAUACAUGCAAGUCGAGCGAACAGACGAGGAGCUUGCUCCUCUGACGUUAGCGGCGGACGGGUGAGUAACACGUGGAUAACCUACCUAUCAGACUGGGAUAACUUCGGGAAACCGGAGCUAAUACCGGAUAAUAUAUUGAACCGCAUGGUUCAAUAGUGAAAGACGGUUUUGCUGUCACUUAUAGAUGGAUCCGCGCCGCAUUAGCUAGUUGGUAAGGUAACGGCUUACCAAGGCAACGAUGCGUAGCCGACCUGAGAGGGGGAUCGGCCACACUGGAACUGAGACACGGUCCAGACUCCUACGGGAGGCAGCAGUAGGGAAGCUUCCGCAAUGGGCGAAAGCCUGACGGAGCAACGCCGCGUGAGUGAUGAAGGUCUUCGGAUCGUAAAACUCUGUUAUUAGGGAAGAACAAAUGUGUAAGUAACUAUGCACGUCUUGACGGUACCUAAUCAGAAAGCCACGGCUAACUACGUG
This 497-nucleotide ribosomal RNA is filed under the name uncultured bacterium. RNAcentral's name for it is "partial 16S ribosomal RNA". It matches the Rfam family "Bacterial small subunit ribosomal RNA", at positions 28 to 507 of the family's 1533-position model. The record is from RNAcentral.